UACGGAGGGUGCAAGCGUUGUCCGGAUUUAUUGGGUUUAAAGGGUGCGUAGGCGGCCUUGUAAGUCAGUGGUGAAAUACUGCAGCUUAACUGUAGCAUUGCCAUUGAUACUGUGAGGCUUGAGUACAGAUGAGGUAGGCGGAAUUGAUGGUGUAGCGGUGAAAUGCAUAGAUACCAUCAAGAACACCGAUUGCGAAGGCAGCUUACUAAGCUGUAACUGACGCUGAGGCACGAAAGCGUGGGGAUCGAACAGG
RNAcentral lists this ribosomal RNA (253 nucleotides) under uncultured bacterium. RNAcentral describes it as "partial 16S ribosomal RNA". It matches the Rfam family "Bacterial small subunit ribosomal RNA", at positions 524 to 776 of the family's 1533-position model. The record is from RNAcentral.